Molecule: transfer RNA, 87 nt
Filed under: Spirochaetales bacterium
Lineage: Bacteria; Pseudomonadati; Spirochaetota; Spirochaetia; Spirochaetales
Also listed under: 1 other name
Description: tRNA-Ser
Rfam family: tRNA
About the family: Transfer RNA (tRNA) molecules are approximately 80 nucleotides in length. Their secondary structure includes four short double-helical elements and three loops (D, anti-codon, and T loops).
Source: RNAcentral
GGAGAGAUGUCCGAGUGGUCGAAGGUGCACCCUUGGAAAGGGUGUGGGCUCUAACAGGCUCCGAGGGUUCGAAUCCCUCUCUCUCCG